AAAACACUUGCCAGCGAACAUCUUGGCUAUGUUUCCAUAUAUUGAUUGAUUCCCAGAACGCGUUUCAUUCUUGUACCAUCACGAAUCUGGACACAAUCUCCGGCCAAAACCGGUAUAAUCUUCAAUCAUUACCAUAAAUCCCUUACGGAAACUUUGCAAGGUUUCAUAACAAUAUUAGAUGCACUUAUUCUAUUCGACACCCUCACACAAAUACAACCUCUCCCUAUCUCUCCCACUCUCUCGUCACCUGCAACCCGUCGCCGGAGCAUUCGGAACUCGCCGGGGCCAUCCGAAGUUACGGCGAAGAUCGCUUCACUCGUUCUCGUCGGAGAUGAAGUUUUCCUCAAAAGCAUUCUAAACUCUACCGAGACUGUAGCAAGAAGAAGGGUCUAGAACUUGGACCCAAAUGAUCUAGUUGGUGGUACAGAGAUUGAACCAGAAUGGUGUGAGGUAAACGUUCAAGUACCAAUGAAAAAGAUGAAAACUUGGUAAGACCAUAUGGUUUAUUUUGUAUAAUUCAAGAUUGUAUUGGUGCAUCCAUCGCAUGGCCCUAUCCAUUCAUCUCGGUAGUCCAUGAGGAUUGAGGACGCAUGAUGACUCAAGAUUUUAUGCUUCUUAUUUCUUUAAUUGCUUUAAUUUCUUUGUUAAAUGUUAAGACUUUAUGUCAGAUAAUGUUAUAACUUAUUUAUGGUUAGUGUUUUUGUUAUGAACAUGCUUAUUUGAAAUAUAAUGAAGUUUAUUUCUUUCA
Molecule: long non-coding RNA, 748 nt
Organism: Helianthus annuus (common sunflower)
Lineage: Eukaryota; Viridiplantae; Streptophyta; Magnoliopsida; Asterales; Asteraceae
Exons: 3
Source: RefSeq, a predicted model, not a curated record